UACGUAUGGAGCAAGCGUUAUCCAGAUUUACUGGGUGUAAAGGGUGCGUAGGUGGCAGUGCAAGUCAGAUGUGAAAGGCCGGGGCUCAACCCCGGAGCUGCAUUUGAAACUGCUCGGCUAGAGUACAGGAGAGGCAGGCGGAAUUCCUAGUGUAGCGGUGAAAUGCGUAGAUAUUAGGAGGAACACCAGUGGCGAAGGCGGCCUGCUGGACUGUUACUGACACUGAGGCACGAAAGCGUGGGGAGCAAACAGG
This 253-nucleotide ribosomal RNA is filed under the name Anaerobutyricum hallii. RNAcentral's name for it is "partial 16S ribosomal RNA". It matches the Rfam family "Bacterial small subunit ribosomal RNA", at positions 524 to 776 of the family's 1533-position model. Lineage: Bacteria; Bacillati; Bacillota; Clostridia; Lachnospirales; Lachnospiraceae. The record is from RNAcentral.